Molecule: ribosomal RNA, 207 nt
Filed under: uncultured bacterium
Lineage: Bacteria
Description: partial 16S ribosomal RNA
Rfam family: Bacterial small subunit ribosomal RNA
Source: RNAcentral
UACGUAGGCGGUUAAAUAAGUCAGAUGUGAAAGCCCGAGGCUCAACCUCGGGAUUGCAUUUGAAACUGUUUAACUAGAGUACAGGAGAGGAAAGCGGAAUUCCUAGUGUAGCGGUGAAAUGCGUAGAUAUUAGGAAGAACACCAGUGGCGAAGGCGGCUUUCUGGACUGUAACUGACGCUGAGGUACGAAAGCGUGGGGAGCGAACA